UCGACGCGCCCUUGGGCUUCGGUCUAGGGGUGAGUGGCGCACGGGUGAGUAGCGCGUGGGAACCUGCCCUGAAGUGGGGGAUAACCGAGGGAAACUUCGGCUAAUACUGCAUACGCCGGUGGUGACACCGGGAAAGAUUUAUCGCUUCAGGAGGGGCCCGCGUCGGAUUAGCUUGUUGGUGGGGUAACGGCCUACCAAGGCAGUGAUCCGUAGCUGGUCUGAGAGGAUGACCAGCCACACUGGGACUGAGACACGGCCCAGACUCCUACGGGAGGCAGCAGUGGGGAAUAUUGGACAAUGGGCGCAAGCCUGAUCCAGCAAUGCCGCGUGAGUGAGGAAGGCCUUAGGGUUGUAAAGCUCUUUCACCCACGACGAUGAUGACGGUAGUGGGAGAAGAAGCCCCGGCUAACUUCGUGCCAGCAGCCGCGGUAAUACGAAGGGGGCGAGCGUUGUUCGGAUUUACUGGGCGUAAAGGGCGCGCAGGCGGCGGACCAAGUCAGGCGUGAAAGCCCCGGGCUUAACCUGGGAACUGCGUCUGGGACUGGUAUGCUAGAGUUCGGGAGAGGAGAGUGGAAUUCCCAGUGUAGAGGUGAAAUUCGUAGAUAUUGGGAAGAACACCGGUGGCGAAGGCGGCUCUCUGGACCGAGACUGA
RNAcentral lists this ribosomal RNA (652 nucleotides) under uncultured bacterium. Its description in RNAcentral is "bacterial SSU rRNA". It matches the Rfam family "Bacterial small subunit ribosomal RNA", at positions 62 to 743 of the family's 1533-position model. The record is from RNAcentral.